This 64-nucleotide transfer RNA is filed under the name Dipodomys ordii (Ord's kangaroo rat). It matches the Rfam family "tRNA". Rfam says of the family: Transfer RNA (tRNA) molecules are approximately 80 nucleotides in length. Their secondary structure includes four short double-helical elements and three loops (D, anti-codon, and T loops). Lineage: Eukaryota; Metazoa; Chordata; Mammalia; Rodentia; Heteromyidae. The record is from Rfam by way of RNAcentral.
GGUGGCUCAAUGGUAGAGUGCUUGCCUAGCAUGCAUGAGCCCUGGGUUCAAUUCCUCAGCACCA